CGUUUUAUGUAAUUAAUAUAAAAUUAAAUCUGCCCAGUGAAAUUUAAACGGCCGCAGUACUUUGACUGUGCUAAGGUAGCAUAAUAAAUUGGCUUUUAAUUGAAGUCUUGUAUGAAAGAAUUCAUGGAUAAUUUCUGUCUUUAUAUAAGUAUUUAAAAUUUGCUUUUAAGGUGAAAAUACCUUUAAAUAUUUAAUAGACGAGAAGACCCUAGGAGUUAUUUGUCUUUGUUGGGGCGACAUUUCUUCAUUUAACAUGAAUAAAUAUUUUUGUUAAUUAAACGAUUAUUAUAAUUUUAAUUUAACUACCCUAGGGAUAACAGCAUAAUUUAUUUUUAAGUUUAUGACCUCGAUGUUGGAUUAGGAAAGUUUAAGGUUAAUAAUUUUAAUUCUAUGUUCUGUUCGAACAAAAAUUCCU
Molecule: ribosomal RNA, 415 nt
Filed under: Siamoconus coleus
Lineage: Eukaryota; Metazoa; Mollusca; Gastropoda; Stylommatophora; Euconulidae
Description: Euconulidae sp. c AP-2023 partial large subunit ribosomal RNA
Source: RNAcentral